This 71-nucleotide small RNA is filed under the name Arabidopsis thaliana (thale cress). RNAcentral's name for it is "ATSL277050". The record is from RNAcentral. Lineage: Eukaryota; Viridiplantae; Streptophyta; Magnoliopsida; Brassicales; Brassicaceae.
AUAAUGGAUCAGAAUUCCGGGUUCGAAGCCCGCAAGCAGUAAAAUCCUUUUGAUGUUUUUUAUACUGUAUC